RNAcentral lists this ribosomal RNA (1008 nucleotides) under Candeina nitida. RNAcentral's name for it is "SSU rRNA". It matches the Rfam family "Eukaryotic small subunit ribosomal RNA", at positions 1160 to 1816 of the family's 1831-position model. The record is from RNAcentral. Lineage: Eukaryota; Foraminifera; Rotaliida; Candeinidae.
AAGGGCACCACAAGAACGCGUGGAGCAUGUGGCUUAAUUUGACUCAACGCGGGAAAUCUUACCGGGUCCGGACGCACUGAGGAUUGACAGGUAUUAUAUAAUUGCUCUUCGGAGCUUUUAUUGUUAAAUAUGCUAGUCCUUUCAUGAUUAUGUGAUAGGUGGUGCAUGGCCGUUCUUAGUUCGUGGAGUGAUCUGUCUGCUUAAUUGCGUUCCACUAUAAGGAUCUAUAUUCUUUACAGUGUGCAGUGCAUUGACCCCUUCUUCGGAAGCGUGUGUCUUUACGCUCACACUUCAUUAGGUCCUGAAAGCAACGAACGUGACCGCAACCUCUUGUUGCCUCUGUGCUCCUACACGCUCAAUGCGCUAAACACUGGUUUUCUUCGGAAGCUUAGUGCGUUGGUUGAGGCUUUCUUAAACUAGAGGGACCGCUGUCAACUUCUUAAACCAGAGGAAGGUUGCGGCAAUAACAGGUCUGUGAUGCCCUUAGAUGUUCCGGGCUGCACACGUGCUACAAUGAUUGUUGCAGUGAGCAUCUCAAUUCUUUACCACACCGCACACGUGAGUCUUUAACGUUUUGUUGAUGCACUUUACGCAGCGGUAACGCCUGCUUCGAGAGCAAGUGGGUAAUCAAUUAGAAGUAACGAUUUCCCAAGUUAGCACACUUAUAUACGGCGUUUAUGCCCGGGUUUCACUUCGUUGAUUCCUUUGUGCGCGUAGAUGGAUUCUUCCGUAUGUGCAAUUGUCAAUUCAUGGUGGGGACAGACCAUUGUUAAUUGUUGGUCUCGGUCUUAACUAGGAAUGCCUUGUACGGGUCUUUGGUUCAACAAACCACCCGGAGUACGUCCCUGCCCUUUGUACACACCGCCCGUCGCUCUUACCGAUGGACUUCUCUGUGAGUUUGAGGGACUCGGGUUGAUCGCUUUACGGCGUGAAACUCUAUGGAAACUUAAACGAACAGUGUGGUCUAAAGGAAAGAGAAGUCGUAACAAGGCAUCGGUAGGUGAACCU